This 448-nucleotide ribosomal RNA is filed under the name uncultured bacterium. Its description in RNAcentral is "bacterial SSU rRNA". It matches the Rfam family "Bacterial small subunit ribosomal RNA", at positions 330 to 792 of the family's 1533-position model. The record is from RNAcentral.
ACCAGACUCCUACGGGAGGCAGCAGUGGGGGAUAUUGGACAAUGGGGGGAACCCUGAUCCAGCGACGCCGCGUGAGUGAAGAAGUAUCUCGGUAUGUAAAGCUCUAUCAGCAGGGAAGAAAGAAAUGACGGUACCUGAGUAAGAAGCCCCGGCUAACUACGUGCCAGCAGCCGCGGUAAUACGUAGGGGGCAAGCGUUAUCCGGAAUUACUGGGUGUAAAGGGAGCGUAGACGGUGAAGUAAGUCUGGAGUGAACGGCGGGGGCCCACCCCCCGGACUGCUCUGGAAACUAUUUGACUGGAGUGCAGGAGAGGUAAGCGGAAUUCCUAGUGUAGCGGUGAAAUGCGUAGAUAUUAGGAGGAACACCAGUGGCGAAGGCGGCUUACUGGACUGUAACUGACGUUGAGGCUCGAAAGCGUGGGGAGCAAGCAGGAUUAGAUCCCCGUGUA